Molecule: ribosomal RNA, 1046 nt
Filed under: uncultured crenarchaeote
Lineage: Archaea; Thermoproteati; Thermoproteota
Description: bacterial SSU rRNA
Rfam family: Archaeal small subunit ribosomal RNA
Source: RNAcentral
CGCGGGAUUGGACGGGGCGCAGCAGGCGCGAAACCUCCUCAAUGCACUAACGUGCGAAGGGGUUACCUCGAGUGCCACCUGAAGAAGGUGGCUUUUCCUUGGUCUAAAAAGCCUCGGGAAUAAGAGGGGGGCAAGACUGGUGUCAGCCGCCGCGGUAACACCAGCCCCUCGAGUGGUGGGGAUGAUUAUUUGGCCUAAAGCGUCCGUAGCCGGCCGGGUAAGUUUCCCGUUAAAUCCAACGUCUCAAGCGUUGGACUGCGGGAAAUACUGCCUGGCUAGAGAGUGGGAGAGGUCAGCGGUAUUCUGGGGGUAGGGGCGAAAUCCUUUGAUCCCCGGAGGACCACCAGUGGCGAAGGCUGCUGACUAGAACACGUCUGACGGUCAGGGACGAAAGCUGGGGUAGCGAACCGGAUUAGAUACCCGGGUAGUCCCAGCCGUAAACGAUGCAUGCUAGGUGUUGGGUUGGCCACGAGCCACCCCAGUGCCGCAGGGAAGCCGUUAAGCGUGCCGCCUGGGAAGUACGAUCGCAAGAUUGAAACUUAAAGGAAUUGGCGGGGGAGCACCACCAGGCGUGAAGCCUGCGGUUUAAUUGGAGUCAACGCCGGGAACCUUACCGGAAGCGACAGCAGAGUGAAGGCCAGAUUGAAGAUCUUGCCAGACGAGCUGAGAGGAGGUGCAUGGCCGUCGCCAGUUCGUGCCGUGAGGUGUUCUCUUAAGUGAGAUAACGAACGAGACCCGCGCCACAUGUUGCCAUCAGAAUCUAAAGGAUUGCUGGGCACUCUUGUGGGACCGCAGCCGAUAAGGCUGAGGAAGGGGCGGGCAACGGCAGGUCAGUAUGCCCCGAAUCUUCCGGGCCACACGCGGGCUGCAAUGGUAUGGACAGAGGGCUGCCACCCCGAGAGGGGGAGCCAAUCCCUAAACCAUACCUCAGUUGGGAUUGAGGGCUGCAACCCGCCCUCAUGAACAUGGAAUGCCUAGUAACUGCCAGUCAUCAUCUGGCGGUGAAUACGUCCCUGCUCCUUGCACGAAUUCGCCGAAUCACUAGU